UUGAGUGUAAAAGUUGGUAUUUUUUUAUGUAGAAAUGAUUUACUCAUUAAUACCUACAAUUUGGUAUAUGAGUCGACCCUAGGUCAUUCACUUUGAAAAACGGGGAUUUAGGGUACCAUACGGUAGGUAGGUGGUUACAGGGAGCGGUACACCCCUGUACAUAUGUUAUAGCGGCCUAUUUCAAAUGUUUACAAUUGUUACGAAUAAUUCAAUUAAUUAUUUCGACGUCGUUAGCAUUGGGUAAAUGUCGAUUCUUAUAGUUUUUUGGUCGCUGAUUUCGAAUCUGAGGUCAGUUUUUCGAUUGCGACAUCAUGGGAAGGGGCACAGGGCCAAUUAAUUAUGUUAAUAUAACACAUAAAAUUAUAAAGCUGCAAAUAUAAGGCUUGGUUUGGUAGUAAUUUAUGAAUCAAUUAGAAGUUGACAUAAAUUCAUGUAACUUUGUCAAUCGGAGAGUGCUUCCCAUCACCUAUGCUAAUAUGUGAUUAAUAAUCUACAUGCCAACUGCAACUUCGUCUCUUCACAGUCUUCACAGUCUUCGAUGCUUACUUCGACGAUGAAAAAACUUCAAUUUUCGAAAACCCUGGUACCUUUUGGAACCAGUGUGCACUCACAUUUCGUUCCCACGAAUUAAUUUUUUAACCAUGGAUACAAGAAUCAGUGAAAUCUUUUAAAAGUACUAUGAAUUUUAAUUAUAUUGUGAAUUUGUGUUUAUAUCAUCCUAUUUGUACUUUGUACUUACUGACUACAAGUGAUUAGUAAUAAAGAAUCAGUGCAGUUGUAAAUGUGAAAUCGGCUAUUUCGGCGUUCCGGCAGAAAUUUUUGUGCUUUAAUUACCGUUAGCGACGGCCCAAAUAAUUAGCAUUUCAAAAAUGGAGGUUUUUAAGGCUAUCGAAGCAACUGUCGUAACCUUGUAUUAUGAUAAAUUGUCAAGCAAUCUUGUUAAAUUGCUUAUAAAACUUGAAAUUAUCAAAAUUUUGUCAGAAUCAGAAAUAAAUAAAUGUCACAUGCAAGUCAACCUGACCGAUUCUACAAGGUAAUUUCCAACCCUGCUAAUGGGGACUGCUUGUUCCACGCCAUAUCUCAAGGCCUAUUGCAGCAUUACCAGGUAAAAAGGUCUCACAAAAAGGUUAGAAAAGAGGUGGUCCGAUAUUUAUGCAAAUUAUUGAAAACGGAAUCUCACACUCGGCAAGAGAAGUGGAGUGCAAUCGUGCACAAUGAGUUGGAGGUGUGGUGGAGGGUCCAAGAUUAUUUGGCGACUGGGAUAAAAGACGAAACGCCGUCCUCUUUCUCGAAGUUCAGGCGUCGCUACCGUAAAAAGAUGGGGUCGUUGGGAGAACCAGGAACUAAAUUAGAAUUGCUGGCAGCUGCUAAUUUGUUCAAUUUCAAUGCAUUCUACUACGAAAUGGGGAAGAAUUCUAAAAACUGCAAGGGAAUAAUUUCUUUCAAGACGUCUCCUAUUCCAAUUAUCUCAUUUAAGGAAAUAGCACCUCCCCAAGAACCAAAGUCAACUUGUCGACGUGACCUUUGUUUAAUGCAUUCUUAUGAUCAUGCAAUUAAUUGUUAUGCUGGACAUUGGGAACUUUUGAUCCCUUGUAAUGAAAAUUGUCAAGUUUAGCUUUGCCAUGCAAUUAUAUAUUUUCAUAUCAUGAAAUGGCUGACUGCCUUAGCAAGAAUUCCAUAAGAAGAGAUUGUGCAUUGAACAAUAAAUCUUAAUACACAAGAAUUUUCAUGAUUUUCAUUUUGCAAACGAAAAA
Long non-coding RNA from Folsomia candida, 1754 nucleotides. RefSeq lists it as uncharacterized. The record is from RefSeq and is a predicted model, not a curated record. Lineage: Eukaryota; Metazoa; Arthropoda; Collembola; Entomobryomorpha; Isotomidae. The transcript is spliced from 2 exons.